AACGCGAAGAACCUUACCUGGUCUUGACACCCACGGAAGUUUUCAGAGAUGAGAAUGUGCCUUCGGGAACCGUGAGACAGGUGCUGCAUGGCUGUCGUCAGCUCGUGUUGUGAAAUGUUGGGUUAAGUCCCGCAACGAGCGCAACCCUUAUCCUUUGUUGCCAGCGGUCCGGCCGGGAACUCAAAGGAGACUGCCAGUGAUAAACUGGAGGAAGGUGGGGAUGACGUCAAGUCAUCAUGGCCCUUACGACCAGGGCUACACACGUGCUACAAUGGCGCAUACAAAGAGAAGCGACCUCGCGAGAGCAAGCGGACCUCAUAAAGUGCGUCGUAGUCCGGAUUGGAGUCUGCAACUCGACUCCAUGAAGUCGGAAUCGCUAGUAAUCGUGGAUCAGAAUGCCACGGUGAAUACGUUCCCGGGCCUUGUACACACCG
This 434-nucleotide ribosomal RNA is filed under the name uncultured bacterium. RNAcentral's name for it is "bacterial SSU rRNA". It matches the Rfam family "Bacterial small subunit ribosomal RNA", at positions 958 to 1392 of the family's 1533-position model. The record is from RNAcentral.